Long non-coding RNA from Passer domesticus (house sparrow), 3619 nucleotides. RefSeq lists it as uncharacterized. The transcript is spliced from 5 exons. The record is from RefSeq and is a predicted model, not a curated record. Lineage: Eukaryota; Metazoa; Chordata; Aves; Passeriformes; Passeridae.
AGGGGUCCAGGAAGGAGACUAGGGAAUGGCUCUGCAGACAUAGGGAGGAUUGACAUGAGGGAGGAGGGGAGCAACUGGUGGCAAGCCAUUUUUGGGGAAGAAGUAGGCGUACAUAGGUGAAACCAUUUCAAAUUGAGAACAAGGAUAAUAAAACACAAUGCAGCAAACAAAGAUAAUAAAACACAAUACAACAUCUCCCCCUUUUUCUAAGCAAGGGCAGCACAAGGCAGAAGCCUUUUGUUUCUCUCUAAACUCCUUCCCUGGCGCAGGCCUCCAAGAAACUGCAUUUCACAAUCCUAAAAGAUUUCAGGGCAAAUUUCACAAAUACUUGUCCACAGGCACUAGCCGAGACUGGAGGGGUUGGGGCUGCCGUUUUGGGUGCCCUGGGAGCUGCUUCUACCCACCUUGCCCCUAAAUGUGGUAAUGGUUCAGGCCUGCAGCACGACACCAGCUGGGUCCAGUGGGCCAAAAAAGUAGCUGAGAAAUUGACACUGCAGGUUCAGAGCUGCCGCCACUGGGAGAGGCCCUGCCCGGUGGUGUGGAGCCAACAUCUCAGUAGCCCUGGACUGGGUUUGGCCUCCAGAAAUCAAACAGUUACAGUCCAAAUUUGCAAGCUGAAACAAUGGCAUAUAUUCAUGUGGCCCUCAGUCACCAGGUGCUGAGUUUUACCCCAGCUAAGGAACAUGAGAGCCUUGCUAACAUGUAGCACAAGCUGACAAUUGCAGCCUGACCUGUGCUGUCAGUGUAGGAGACAUAGCAGACCUGGAGCCAGAACAGGACAGAGACAAAAGGAAGAGCUGAAACCAGUGACAUGCACAGCAAAAACUUGAAUCCCUCUCAGGCUUUCUUUCAGAGGCACGGGUUCAAAUCCAGCCAUAUAGUUACAUCAUUUGCAAUAUGUCAAGAUUUGGUCCACAUUCUCUUCUGAAAUACUUUGUUUGGAUGUUUGGAUCCCUGUUUCAUAUUAGUCUCAUUAAUAGUCAGGAAAUGGAACCUGAAAGAACUCUUAAAUGAAGCAAGGUAAAGUAAGAAUGGGAUCAGAGAUCAUAAGUGAGAACAAAAUCAGAGCUGGAAAAGCUGUAUACAUCAAAAGCCCUCUAUCUUGUAAUUUAGGACAGGUUUCUCUAACCCAGUAGAAGUCAGAUCCUCUGAGGUAUUUUGAAAAUCCCACUUUAUCUGUCUCUACAAGGCUGCUCUCAGAGAUAGGUAUGAUGUACUGCUGAUUGCUUAUGAAGACCUAAGGACUCCACAAGGAACAAGCCUGAUAGAAAGCUUUUGUGAAAAUUACCCAGCUCAGAUUUCCUGGAAAAACAGUCACAAGAGUACACAGAAGUGUAAAGCACUACUGGUGUGAUGCAACUCUCAUCAAAAUUACACGGUGAUGGAUCACUCCAUAGAAAUACAGUGGCAAUAUUCUCGAGAGAGAUUCAGUGAUGCAUGUAUUACAAAUCAGUCCUACAAGGAUGACUGUGCAUGUCAAACUUCUGCAGUAUAAAGUUCAAAAAAUCACAAAAUUAUCUGUGAUAUUUAUUGUGGAUUGUGCAAAUAUUUAAUGGUUUUACUCACAGUUACUGUACAUUUGUUUCUUCAAAAGGAGUAGGCCAGGCUGCAGGGAGGAACACUGGGGGGUUAUUUUGUGUUGCUGUCUGCAGACUGGAUUUCUGUGCUGCACACUGGAUGGCACUGGGAGCUGCCUGCAAGAAGGGAGACAUUCUUUCCAGAUAGUAAUGGGGCUGCCUCGUGGGAGGGUCACUUCAGACUGUGGGGUGGGAUGGGCAGAGUGAAAAGGGAGGAGAAGAAGUCGUCAUCUCAGCAGGUUAAAUGUCAGAAAGGGCAGGAGUCACCUCAGCAAGGGAGAUUGCAGGGAACAGCAAAAAGUAGAGGGGUGGAUGGCUGCUCUGGGGUUAGGACAACCUAUGGGUUACUGUAGGACUUGAAGAGUUGAACUUCUGUUCUUCAUAGACUAUCACAAGUAUAGUUCAAGCAGAAAAAUUCAGCAGCCGUGCAUCUCCUCUUUCCAAACUGGUGUUAAACGGGACAUAGACUUGAACUCUUGGUGGUCAGUGUCACUGGCAGGGAAGGGAGCUUUUCCCCUCCCUUUGUGCUUCAUCUGGCUCUGGCUUCUGGUUUGAAAGGAGCCUGUACUCCUGUGUGUGGGAUUAGCAUGUUGCCUUCAGCCUUACAUUUAGACCUGGAAUGUUUUUUCCACCAUCUUCACAAAAUGAGCUCCAUUGUGGUUACAUUUUUACAGCUUCUACAUGCUUACAUUGUUGGUAUUUUUACACCAUGGAAAAUUAGUAAUUGACACUUGUCUUUUCCCGCCUUUAUUUUUACAAGUAGUUUUUGUCAAAAAAAGUUUCAAAAUGUAAGCAUAUUUUGACUAUCACAUGCAUAUCAUUUAUGUCAUAUUGCUGACCUCAAACUUAGGAAAUGUAUUUCUCCUUUUGACUCUUUUUAUUUUAUCUAUGAAGGGGAACAGAGAAAACAAACAAACAGAAAAGAUUUGUUGUAUCUUCGACACUUUCCCUGAGCUCUUUCUCUCACAGUUCCACCUCAAAAUUAUAUGUGGAAAGUGGCAGGAACCAAUCCAACACUACUGCCAAACAAUGCAGGGGUGUAAGUCUGGGCUCACUACAUAGGAUCCAGAACAUGUUUUUCUGUAGGCAAAGAACAAAGCAAAGCAAUUUGACAUAAGGAUAACUCAGUGGAGAAAAGAAACAGGAAAAGUAAAAAGGAAACAGCAUGGAGCAGAAUCAAAUCAUUGGGGCAGAGAGAUUAGAGCUAAAAGUAGAUUAAAACCAAGAACACAAAAGGAAAAUGUGAGCAUAUUUUUAGGGGGAAAAUUAUAAUAAUUUUACUGUAUAUAUUAAUUUGUAAUCAUGUUUUUUAGGAUGAUAAAAAUGCAAAUCAAAGUUGCAGCAAAUAAACAGGAAUGCUGACAUAAGGCAGGAAUAUUUGAAAAAGUCAAAGCCUCAGUGACAUCCAAGACUAUAUGAGGUGUUUUCCCAUAUUGCAUAUAUUUUUUGUCUGGAAUGACCAGCAUACAAGGCAAUCUCAGAGAAUUUCAGGUACCUGUGAUAUUUUUUUCCUUUUAGGCCAUUUGAGAGUCUUUCAUUUCUCUGUCUUCCCAGUCUAUGAAGCCUCUGGAAUAAACAUCUAAUGUCUAGAUGGAAAGACAGGUGUGCAAACACUUCACAAAUCAGUAUCAACCAUAUUUUCAAAACAGAUAUGAUCUAACUAUUCACAGAUAGAUGGACAUCACACCAUUUCUUUGUACAGGCAAUACAUCAAGAUUUCUCUCUGAAACUUCUAGUAAUGGUGGUAAAGUCUUUCAAUGUAUCUCAUUUUUAUGUUGGCAGCAAUCAGGUCCCACUUCAGGUAACGACAUAACAGCAUAGAGCUGGUUCUCAGUAAGUAUUUUGUUUGUCCACACUUGGACCUAUUGUAUACAGCUACAUAUGACUCAGCCUCAGUGUUCAGAAAGCUGGAAACUAUUUGUAAGUGACAGAUCAGCUCUCUGCUAGAGGAAGUUUGUCAGCAAAUGGUUCUUUGUUAUGAGGACAUUUUGCAGAGACAGUUUUGUUACACAAUAAUAAAUGCACCAUACUGAAAGGAUAUU